Schistosoma haematobium is the source of this 78-nucleotide non-coding RNA. The record is from Rfam. Lineage: Eukaryota; Metazoa; Platyhelminthes; Trematoda; Strigeidida; Schistosomatidae.
AGCUUUUCGGGUCCGUGCUGAGAUUUCGUCAGACACUUAUCUAUUAGGGCUGAUUAGACUUCCAAAAUAAGUGAAGUU